AUAUUAUUAAGUGGAGGAAAAGAAACCAAAAGGGAUUCCCCCAGUAGCGGCGAGCGAAAAGGGACCGGCCCAAAGCCGAAUCCCGCGUCCUCCGGGCGUCGGGAAAUGUGGCGUAUGGGAGUCGGAACUUUCGCGCGGGGAGGCGACUCAAGUCCCCAUGAACGGGGCUAUGACCGAAGCGGGUGUGAGUCCCGUACAGUCGCCCUCCCAGCGCGCGAGUCUCCGCUCUCCCGGGAGUCGGGUUGCUUGAAAGUGCAGCCCAAAGUGGGUGGUAUGCUCCACCUAAGGCUAAAUAUUCCCGAGAGACCGAUAGCAAAAAAGUACCCUGAGGGAAAGUUGAAAAGAACUUUGAAGAGAGAGUUCAAUAGUACGUGAAACCGCUUAGAGGUAAACGGGUGGGCCCUCGAAGUCUGAGGACGGACCGGUUCAGCUCUUGAGAGGCCGGGAAGGGCCGGGGGACGCCGCGCACGCAGACGACCUGCGUCGCCGCCCCCGCUCGACCCGGCCGCUCGGGCGCAAUCCUGGUUCGGCCGGUAAGAGGCCGCGACGGGUUGGCCGAAGGUCGGAAGGACGGCCCGCCGGAAAGGUGGCCCGCCGACGCCCUCGCGGCGGCCGGCGGGUGUUACAGCCGGCAUCACGGGCAGUAUAGCCGACCUUCGCGCCGACUCAGGACGAGAGAACCUCGCACGACCGCUUCCCCAGGACGGCCUUCGGGCGGCGACCUGCCCCGCGCUUCGCACCCCCCGGGUGGGUCGCGCGGUCGGCAGAUUUGUCGGUCGCCCCGUCGGUCGAGGGGGAGCCCGGGGUCWGCGGCCAGUAGAUCGGGUCCCACCCGACCCGUCUUG
RNAcentral lists this ribosomal RNA (845 nucleotides) under Paraliochthonius takashimai. RNAcentral describes it as "partial large subunit ribosomal RNA". The record is from RNAcentral. Lineage: Eukaryota; Metazoa; Arthropoda; Arachnida; Pseudoscorpiones; Chthoniidae.